UUAAUUUGUUUUAUAUUGUCUUCCAUGUAGCAAAAUGACAAUGUCAGAUUGAACUACACAGUGUCGAUGCAAGAACUCUCUAAUGGUGCAUGAUUUAAUGAGGAAAACAAUCAGACAGUAGAACCUGUACGACAACCAGACUCUCGUACACUACCGCUUCUGGCCCUAGGACCAAAAAAUAUGCAAGAUUCUAGUUCAUGUGUUACUUUUACUUGUCCUCAAUAUCUACUUGAGCUUUCGUUCUAAACUACACUAUGUUUGAUUGUUUUCUAAAAACUAUAGUUUUCUUAAGUUUUCUAAAAAGACCAUUGAAAAAUAAUUUCACAUUAGUCCAUAGAAAAAUGCGUCCAUGGAAUAUUAAACUGCUGACCUUAUACACACUUAAGAGAUUCUCUACCGUUAAGCUACGAUAAUAAUUUAAUAAUAUUCGUAACAAAGUAUAUUUAUAUACUAACAAAUAUCACUAUUUA
RNAcentral lists this small RNA (470 nucleotides) under Arabidopsis thaliana (thale cress). Its description in RNAcentral is "ATSL217850". Lineage: Eukaryota; Viridiplantae; Streptophyta; Magnoliopsida; Brassicales; Brassicaceae. The record is from RNAcentral.